AUGCACUAUAAGAAUGUUUUAAUUAUCACAGGACAAAGGGCGAGUAAUUAAUCUUCACAUUUGUUCUCAGAAGGUGAUAACCAGCAUAAAAGAGAUAGCACAAACAUGUGCAUAUAUGCAACAAAAAAUAUAACAGAAUAAGUUAACAGCAGCCAAGGUCUCAUUGGCUCCAUUCUUCAAGCAAUAACAGCAGCCCUACCAUCAUCAUCUAAUUCACCAUUUCUAGUAUAAUCCAGAGCAUACCAAAGUGACAAUAUCAUCCUAUUCUUUUGUUAUUUAACUCGCUUUUUCCCAUCUUAUAAUUUUGU
This 308-nucleotide unclassified non-coding RNA is filed under the name Hevea brasiliensis (rubber tree). The record is from RNAcentral. Lineage: Eukaryota; Viridiplantae; Streptophyta; Magnoliopsida; Malpighiales; Euphorbiaceae.